CAUGGAUGCGCUAAUGGACAACACGGAUGACAAGGAAAGUGCCAUCGUACAUGCUCUGGGUGUCUUGAGGAGCUUGUCUUUGGAGGAUGCUGAGCAGGUCUUUCUUUCUGGUAAAGAUUAUCAUUACAGUGAAGUAAAAUAAUUUAACAGACUGUUGACAAACAACUGACGAAAGAAGAGAGACCAUUCAAUAGUCCCUUUAUUUAUCAGGGGUUUCCAGAGCAGAAUGAACCGCAAACUUGUGCAGCAUAUGUUUUACACAGUGGAUACCCUUCCAGCCGCAACCCAGUACUGGGAAACGCCCAUUUACACUCAUACACUUGAACAUGGGGAGAACAUGCAAACUCCACACAGAAAUAACCACUGGCCCAGCCGGGGCUUGAAUCAGCAACCUUCUUGCUGUGAGGCGACGGUGCUUACCACUGUGCUGCCCUAUGUGCUCUAUGCGGGUGAGUGGGAUUGACAAACCACCUGGAGGACACACUCUUGCUGUCUUAAUGCACCAGACAUUUUGAAAUCAUGUGCAUUUCAUGUUUAAUUGUAUAACUGCUAUUUUAUCUCAUAGCACUUCAUUUUUGUCUUGAUAUUUAAUAUCUCUUGUUUUAAAUACACUAUGAGCAGAAUCUGCACUAAUUAUUUUCCUUGUUCCCUAUUUCCACCUGGGGAUAUU
This is a non-coding RNA of Danio rerio (zebrafish), 670 nucleotides long. The record is from Ensembl. Lineage: Eukaryota; Metazoa; Chordata; Actinopteri; Cypriniformes; Danionidae.